AGUGAACGCUGGCGGUAGGCCUAACACAUGCAAGUCGAACGGCAGCACAGUAAGAGCUUGCUCUUACGGGUGGCGAGUGGCGGACGGGUGAGGAAUACAUCGGAAUCUACUUUUUCGUGGGGGAUAACGUAGGGAAACUUACGCUAAUACCGCAUACGACCUACGGGUGAAAGCAGGGGAUCUUCGGACCUUUCGCGAUUGAUUGAGCCGAUGUCGGAUUAGCUAGUUGGCGGGGUAAAGGCCCACCAAGGCGACGAUCCGUAGCGGGUCUGAGAGGAUGAUCAGCCACACUGGAACUGAGACACGGUCCAGACUCCUACGGGAGGCAGCAGUGGGGAAUAUUGGACAAUGGGCGCAAGCCUGAUCCAGCCAUACCGCGUGAGUGAAGAAGGCCUUCGGGUUGUAAAGCCCUUUUGUUGGGAAAGAAAAGCAGCAGGUUAAUACCCCGCUGUUCUGACGGUACCCAAAGAAUAAGCACCGGCUAACUUCGUG
This 492-nucleotide ribosomal RNA is filed under the name uncultured bacterium. Its description in RNAcentral is "partial 16S ribosomal RNA". It matches the Rfam family "Bacterial small subunit ribosomal RNA", at positions 29 to 507 of the family's 1533-position model. The record is from RNAcentral.